GUCUACGGCCAUACUACCCUGAACGCGCCCAGUCUCAUCUGAUCUCGGAAGUUAAACAGGGUUGGGCCUGGUUAGUACUUGGAUGGAAGAAAGUGACAACAGAUGUGUCAUAAUUU
This is a ribosomal RNA of Cavia aperea (Brazilian guinea pig), 116 nucleotides long. NCBI's taxonomy places the organism in Eukaryota, Metazoa, Chordata, Mammalia, Rodentia, Caviidae. The record is from Ensembl.